GGCCAAAACCUCUAGCCCAGCCACACACUACACCAUAAACACCUCAAACCUACUAACUAUUACCACCACAACCAAAACAUUUCUUCUAACUUAGUAUAGGCGAUAGAAAAGAUACUUGGCGCGAUAGAAAUUUCCUCGUACCGUAAGGGAAAGAUGAAAUAACAAUGAAAAACAAAGCCACAAGCAGCAAAGAUAAACCCUUGUACCUUUUGCAUCAUGGUUUAGCAAGAACAACCAAGCAAAGCGAACUGAAGCUUGCCAUCCCGAAACCUAAGCGAGCUACUCACAAGCAGCUACCCUGAGCAAACCCGUCUCUGUUGCAAAAGAGUGGGAUGACUUGUUAGUAGAGGUGAAAAGCCAACCGAGCUAGGUGAUAGCUGGUUACCUGUAAAACGAAUCUAAGUUCAUUCUUAACCUCCUCACACAAGAACCACAAACCCAAGCUACCUUGUAGCAGGUCAAGAACAAUUUAAAGGGAGGUACAGCUCCUUUAAAAAGAAUACAAUCUCCCCCAGCGGAUAAUCAACAAUCAUAACUAAUCCUGUAGGCCUUUAAGCAGCCAUCAAUAAAGAGUGCGUCAAAGCUCACCAUAAAAAAAUCCAAAAAUAACAUGACUCCCUCACCCCUAACAGGUGAACCUAUGACAAUAGGAGAAUAAAUGCUAAAAUAAGUAACUAGGGCAUGCCCUCUUAAGCGCAAGCUUACAUCACCAUUAUUAACAGACCAGACUAAUAACCACAAACUCAACAAGAGCCAAAUAUUCAACCCCCUGUUAACCCAACCCAGGAGCGCUAAACUAGAAAGAUUAAAACCUGUAAAAGGAACUAGGCAAAUAGCCAAGGCCCGACUGUUUACCAAAAACAUAGCCUUCAGCCCAUCAAGUAUUGAAGGUGAUGCCUGCCCAGUGACACCACGUUCAACGGCCGCGGUAUCCUAACCGUGCGAAGGUAGCGCAAUCAAUUGUCCCAUAAAUCGAGACUUGUAUGAACGGCUAAACGAGGCCUUAACUGUCUCUUACAGGUAAUCAGUGAAAUUGAUCUUCCUGUGCAAAAGCAGGAAUAGACGCACAAGACGAGAAGACCCUGUGGAACUUAAAAAUCAGCGGCCACCGUACAUCCAAAAUACUAAGCCCACUUGGCCUCUACCAUCCCCUCAAGCUCAGUUGGCCCGCAUUUUUCGGUUGGGGCGACCUUGGAGAAAAACGAACCCUCCAAAAAUAAGACCAUACAUCUUAACCAAGAACAACCCCUCAACGUACUAAUAGUAGUCAGACCCAGUAUAACUGAUCAAUGGACCAAGCUACCCCAGGGAUAACAGCGCAAUCUCCUUCAAGAGCCCCUAUCGACAAGGAGGUUUACGACCUCGAUGUUGGAUCAGGACACCCUAAUGGUGCAGCCGCUAUUAAGGGUUCGUUUGUUCAACGAUUAACAGUCCUACGUGAUCUGAGUUCAGACCGGAGUAAUCCAGGUCGGUUUCUAUCUGUGGUGGACUUUUCCCAGUACGAAAGGACCGGAAAAGUGAGGCCAAUACCAUAGGCACGCCUUACCCCUUAAGUAAUGAAUCCAACUAAAUUCCAAAAGCACCACUAACACACCAGUCCUAAUAAGGCCG
This 1611-nucleotide ribosomal RNA is filed under the name Psophia viridis (dark-winged trumpeter). RNAcentral's name for it is "16S ribosomal RNA". It matches the Rfam family "Bacterial large subunit ribosomal RNA". Lineage: Eukaryota; Metazoa; Chordata; Aves; Gruiformes; Psophiidae. The record is from RNAcentral.